Molecule: ribosomal RNA, 480 nt
Filed under: uncultured bacterium
Lineage: Bacteria
Description: bacterial SSU rRNA
Rfam family: Bacterial small subunit ribosomal RNA
Source: RNAcentral
AUGAACGCUGGCGGCAUGCCUUACACAUGCAAGUCGAACGGCAGCACGGGAGCAAUCCUGGUGGCGAGUGGCGAACGGGUGAGUAAUAUAUCGGAACGUGCCAGUCGUGGGGAUAACGUAGCGAAAGCUACGCUAAUACCGCAUACGAUCUAUGGAUGAAAGCGGGGAUCGCAAGACCUCGCGCGAUUGGAGCGGCCGAUAUCAGAUUAGGUAGUUGGUGAGGUAAAGGCUCACCAAGCCGACGAUCUGUAGCUGGUCUGAGAGGACGACCAGCCACACUGGGACUGAGACACGGCCCAGACUCCUACGGGAGGCAGCAGUGGGGAAUUUUGGACAAUGGGCGCAAGCCUGAUCCAGCAAUGCCGCGUGCAGGAUGAAGGCCUUCGGGUUGUAAACUGCUUUUGUACGGAACGAAACGGCGAGCUCUAAUACAGUUUGCUAAUGACGGUACCGUAAGAAUAAGCACCGGCUAACUACGUG